Molecule: long non-coding RNA, 4416 nt
Organism: Sphaerodactylus townsendi
Lineage: Eukaryota; Metazoa; Chordata; Lepidosauria; Squamata; Sphaerodactylidae
Exons: 2
Source: RefSeq, a predicted model, not a curated record
UCACUGUAUCCCCUUCCGUAACUCCCUGCCCUCAAGAAGAAGCAAUGCAUUGGAGCCUGCUGAUCAUUCUUCCAACUUCCCUGGGUGCACAGGAAGAAAGGAGUCGUUCACAUCUGCAGCAUAAACCACCACCAAGCUUGAGCAUUCUGCAUUAACAAUGACAAGCUGACUUGUACAUCCCUCCUCCCCCUCCCAUCCCCAAAAGAGCAUAAACAUGCAAUGUGAAAUGGAAAUGCUUUGACUUCAGUUUUUGCUGGGAUCUCUAGAUUGGGCAGGAGGAAUAAUAAUAACAACAACAACAAUAAUUUUUAAUUAGAUUUGUUAUACUGCCCACCCCCGAAGGUACAAAGACAUGCUGAUUUACCAGGGCAGUCCUAACUGGAGUCACACCCUCCUAAGCAUUUUGAGGUUAGCAGGCUGGGAAGGGUGUAAAUUCUGCUCAGGAGUACACUGUAGGUCUGGGUUCUUCCUCAAGUCCAACCCGGCAGACUGCCUGUGCCCUGAUGAAAAUCUGUUUUUUAAAAAAAUAAGUGAGCAGUGGACCAAAAUAAUUGAGAACCCUGAACAAGGCACUUCUUGGAUCUUAGUGGAAAUUGUAUGGAAUCCUAAGUAUGGAUGAGUCUGAGUAUGGGGCAUGGUUGUCUGUUUUCCUCUUACAAUAAGGAUGUUAAUGGGUGAAACUCAGCUUGCUUUUGCUGUGAGCCACUUGCCAGUGCAGAGGUCUUUUAUAAUCUUUUGGACAUUUUUUUUCCUUUUUCAAGAUGAUCGGUUUGCUGAAUGUGGCCUCUGCUUCUAUCUCAGCACACCUUCCAUGUAAGAGCAAAUGGGGACAGGCGGGCUGUUCUCCUUAACAGCAAGGAGGAAAGCAGUGACCUGUGAUCUUGCACAGGUUUCACACGUUACCACUCAAAGCACUUUUGAGCCGUUACCCUGCUGUUCGUAGAAAUAAAUGGAGGAUGGAUUUUUAAAAUGCGUUUGUGUCAAAGUUUCCAUCUAUUUGAUGGUCAUGCAGGACAGUGCAUUUACAGUCAUGUCUGACUCUUGUUGCAUUUUUGUGCCACCUGAGAACAAAUGUAUUCAGUCUGAGUUGCAUUUUUAAAAUCCUCCUCUAAUCAUUUUCCCAUUGGGUUAUACUCAUUUGAGAAGCUUCUGCUGUAAUGUUUUACUAUCUCUCAUGUAAGGGGUGUGGGGAUAUCUCAUUGAUUCCAGUGAUGCAGGGGCAACCUUACCCCAGCCAUCUGUUUUUUAACGCCAUUGCUGCUGUUGCUCAAGGGAGAGAGAGGAACUUCUUGGAGGGUUUUCUUCUCUUUCAAAAGAGCAUCUAUAUCCACAUAGUAGCCUUUAAUUAAAAAAUAGCAGUAACAACUGAGAAAUUGACAAGGGUUUUGAUGAAAUUGUCACAGCUUUCUCCUGGCCUUUUUAGUUUCACUGGAGGGCACAGCAGGAUACAGUGAAGGGACUGACAGUGAGGCAGGUGAGGAGCAUGCCUGUAGAACAUCUGACCUGACCAGAUAGGCAAUAUGUGUCUAUAUCUUUUUUUCUCCUGUAUAUCAAGCACAAAGUAUCAAGUUCCUGUGGGCUUCUGUCAGCUUUAUUUAUUGCAUCUCACACUCAUUCAUGCGUGAUAUGUUGCACCAUCCCUUAUGACCUUUGUCCUUAUGAGACUCCUAGUAAAUAAGUCAAUGUGUUCCUGUCUCACUGAUGGGCAACCAAAUCCGACUGUGAGAUAUCCUGAGACGCAUAGCAAAUUCCAACUAAACUACAACAUGAACCCAAGUUUCCAAGGUUGUGAUUCCAUCUAGUAGAUUGAUUCAUUCAGCUCUUUUUUCUUUCCACCAUGAUGUUCAUCACUCAGGAACACACUAUUGAAAGUGUAAAUAUUGACAAAACAAGGCAGUAUCCGUAAAUUUUCAGAUGUAUCAUUCCCUUCUUCAGCCACACAUGCACGGAACACCAGAAACCACCUUAAAUAGGAAAGCAAAAUCUAUACUUUGUUAAACAACUACAUAGUGCUAAAAUUCUGACCUCAUAAUGAAUAUAUACUGGUCACAUGUUAUUCUCUUUCAUCUUCUUUAGGUCUUUAUUUACAGCUUUUCUGGCCUGGCCUGGCCUGGCCUGGCCUGGCUUAGUCGAAAGCAUUGCAGUUUUAACCCAGCUGCAUGGAGAGAAAGGAUGUCUUCAUCAUAUGUAUUUUGUAUUUCAGCCCCCCCUCCCCAGUGUUCCAGUAUACAUCAAGAUACCUGCAAGCAUCUCUGCAGUCCCUCUGUGUGGUUUUCUCAUGAGAGAAGCCAAGCACUUCGUAAGCUAUGGAGAGUUUCUUAGGCAGAUUCUGCAUGAGCCAAAAACAGCGGUGUGAAAAUGGUGUAAAAUGGUUUAAAACAGUAUAAAAGGGUUUAUACCUUUUUCACACUGUUUUCACACCACUGUUUUUGGCCCAUGUGGAAUCUGCCUUAGAGAGGGCUGCAUCUUGUGCUGUUCUGUCUGCCCAGGUGAAAUCUGUUAAGGCUGAUGCUUUCCAUCUGUUUUUUAGCAAUGGCUUGUUUAAUUGAUUAUAUGUAUGACAGCUGAUGUUGCAUCAUGGAUAGAGAGUUAUAGGACCUGGGGCAACUGGAAUUGAACCCUGCUUUGCAAUGGGAGCUCACUGGGUGCCCCUAGGUCUACCACAGUCUUUUUGUAUCAACUAUCUCAAAAAUGAGGAUAGGAUGGAUGAGAAGAAAAUGAUGUCAUAAGCAGCUGGGGUCCUGCUCAGAAAAAAAGUAGUAUGUGAAUAAAAAUAAUACUGAAAUAAUAUAAAGAUAAGGUUUUAAAUGUGCACUUAUGUUCUUAUGUUCACUUUAGUAUUGACAGUGACCCUGUUGUUACAAGAGAGGUGAUAUGAUAUUGAACAAUUUCUGUAUCUUAUUGGAUUGUACAUGGGUUUACAUAACACGCCAGUUGCAUCUGAUCUAUAAUUUUAUUGCCUGUAUAUAAUGUUACUGUUCAAUAGGAGGCUUUUGUGCAACAUAAACCAUAAAUUCUGCAGCUUUUUAAUAUAUAGUUAUUGGUCUUCCUUUCUAGGGCAUUUCCUACCAGUGAACUUUUUAUUGCAUUGAGCACUGAAUUGAUAGGCCCUGCAAAAUGUGCCCUGCAAAAUUGACAGGCCCUGAAUUGAUAGGCCCACCUGCAAAAUGGGAAUUGUUUGGAUCUAAUGCAGGCUUACUGCGAGAAGGUAGUCCAGCAUUGCAUAAAAUGGCAAAUGUGACCUAAAGGCUACCAAAAGUCAGCAUGAAGUUGGGUGGGUUGAUUACUCCUUUACAAAGAGAGUAUAUAAAAUUAAGCCCAAAUGUGUAACAACUUGUUGUGUAUAUAGGAAGUUGUGACAGUGGAACUGCAGAACUCCCGUCCAGAUCAGAUCUUCCUUGCUCCUACUCUUGCAACCUUUGGGCUCUAAGUUGAAAGCUUUUGAGAUGUCUUAACUUCCUUGAUUUGAACAACUGCUGCUAUCGCCUCUUUGCUGUGCCUUUUAUUUGCAGUUUGAAGUGAUCUGAGUUCACACUUUGGGACCUCAUGCACUUUUUUCUCAGCCCUCUUCAAGAUCUUAAACAAAAGAUGGGUGAUAAAUAAAAGCAGGUUAUAACAACAGUGUUGUUUUCUUUUUGAAUACUAAUGUGUAAAGUGUAUGAUUUGGCACAUGUGGGAGAGAUCUAGCAAUCUGUUACAUCAGCUUUGUCCUACUGUGCUGAAUCCAAUAUUCUGCAAUCUAAUUUUAUACAUAUUUACUUUUGGAGAAAUGUUAUGACUGUCUAACAAAUCCCAUUGCUUGUUGAAGUUAUUUUGGUCAUUAUUAUGAUGUCUGGUCUGUGUACCAUGUUUGAGUAUCACAACAACUACAGUAGAUAAAAAUGUAGUUUAAUCUUUUCGUGUUAUUUCAAGUUGAAUGUGCAAAUUACUGCAUUUAUUCUUUUCUUGGAUGCCUACUUUUGCUCUGCAUAGAUAAAUAGUUAUGAACAAUAAAUGGUAUGUUGGUAGCUUAAUGGACAAUGUGGAAUGGACAUCUUAAUGAAGUUUUGUAAUGCUAUUCAGUGUUUUUUGCUUUUCUGAAUAAGGUAACUGUGCUGAGUUUCUCUGUUGACUUUUUCAUGGCAUAAGUCACAAAUCUUCAGAUAUAAGGACUGCUAUACUCUUAACUUCUGUUAGCUUUACCUAAUACUUGCUGUGUCACCAGCACAUAAACACUUGGAAUUGAGAGUAUUAACAGCUAUGUAUUAUGGAACAUUUAAUUUCUAGAAUCUUGUUCAGUUAUAACACUAAAUGUUUCAGAUCAAAGUGCUAGCUGCUUAUGCAAAACAUGAAUAUUCUCUGUGCUGUCCAAGAAGGAGGGAUAGUAAUGCUUUAAAUGUAGGAAGACUGAAAUAAAAGUAUUUUUCUUAUGCCUUU